CAGCAACUGCAGCUAAUUUCCUCUAACAUACUCAGCCCCUAUUCAAAGCAAAAUCACAAUCAUCACAGGUACAGAGACAAAAAUGAUACUCAGUAGUAGUAUACAUAAAGAAAGAAAGCAAAUUUAUUUCCGUUGUUCCAUGUUCAUAUCUCCAACUGCAAAAAGUGAAUUCCUAACAACAAUAUUUAUGUCCACAUUCAUAAACGAAUCCAACAAAGAAAAGAAACCUUUCUAUAUUCCCUCCCACCAGCCUCCAGAUUCAUUGUGAGAUGCCCAAUAAUGGGCAUAUCAUUCUAUAGCUCAACUCCUCUGAUGAUUGUCUCGUAUGCUCAUUACUAGUUUUGCAACUAUACAAGAAACCGCAACUGAAACAGCACUCUGUUUGAAGCACAUGAGAGACCGUGCGAAACCAAACUGAAACCAUCUUCAAGCAUUUACAAUAGAAGGAAUGACUGACAACCGAACGACGACUUGAUUGAGCUAUUGUGCUAUACUGAAUGAACCAUCUUGAACUGCUUAUUUCUACAAUAUAGCCUUCCUCCCAAUAUAACCAUCUUGAUCAAACUUGUACCGAAGCUCCUCUGAUUGACUCUGCUCAACAAAUGACCAUUCCAAUAAUUAAUAAACAAACAGUGGACACUUGCACAAAAUGAACAUAUUGCCCUGAUCAAACUUGUAUCGAAGCUCCUCUGAUUGACUCUGCUCAACAAAUUACCAUUCCAAUAAUUAAUAAGAGUAAACAAACAGUGGACACUGUAAAAAAAAUGAACAUCAAAAUGCAGAAGAAGAUAUCAUAUAUACUACAUAAAGCACAUUGUGUGAACAUUUCAUUAUCUUCAAAAUAUUUAUAUACAAUAUCCAAAUUGAACAAGAAAAGGCCAGUGCUUGCAAUAAUCUGCCAGCAAUUUGUGCAAAUACUAGUACUGCAAUUUGGACGACAAAUGAGGCAGCUACCAAAUGAUGCAAAGAACUAUACACUUGAGUAACAUAACCAAGCUUAGAUUCAACCAUACAUUUUGGGAAUAAAUGUUUCACAGACAAGUUCAAACCUUGGCCAAAGUUCCUGAGUUACAGGGGACAUACAGAUGUAGCCGAACUGUCUUCAAUAUUUCCAAACAGAAUAAGCAAAAGAAACUCGAGCACAAAAUGGUCAACUUAGAAAAGAACGAACCAAGAAAGAGAAAAGACCUU
This 1191-nucleotide long non-coding RNA is filed under the name Nicotiana benthamiana. RNAcentral's name for it is "long non-coding RNA (NBEN_LNC026571)". Lineage: Eukaryota; Viridiplantae; Streptophyta; Magnoliopsida; Solanales; Solanaceae. The record is from RNAcentral.